GACGAACGCUGGCGGCGUGCUUAACACAUGCAAGUCGAACGGAAAGGCCCUGCUUUUGUGGGGUGCUCGAGUGGCGAACGGGUGAGUAACACGUGAGUAACCUGCCCUUGACUUUGGGAUAACUUCAGGAAACUGGGGCUAAUACCGGAUAGGAGCUCCUGCUGCAUGGUGGGGGUUGGAAAGUUUCGGCGGUUGGGGAUGGACUCGCGGCUUAUCAGCUUGUUGGUGGGGUAGUGGCUUACCAAGGCUUUGACGGGUAGCCGGCCUGAGAGGGUGACCGGCGACAUUGGGACUGAGAUACGGCCCAGACGGCUACGGGAGGCAGUAGUGGGGAAUAUUGCACAAUGGGCGGAAGCGUGAUGAAGCGACGCCGCGUGCGGGAUGACGGCCUUCGGGUUGUAAACCGCUUUAGCCUGUGACGAAGCGUGAGUGACGGUAAUGGGUAAAGAAGCACCGGCUAACUACGUG
RNAcentral lists this ribosomal RNA (468 nucleotides) under uncultured bacterium. RNAcentral's name for it is "partial 16S ribosomal RNA". It matches the Rfam family "Bacterial small subunit ribosomal RNA", at positions 28 to 507 of the family's 1533-position model. The record is from RNAcentral.